CCUGCAUGGGAGGAACCCAGGAAGUCUACUCAGUGCUCCCCACCAUGUACCGGCUUUCCAUACAGCCCCACACAUGACAGAGUGAGUGAUUUGGAUACCCUUCCCCCCACGGAUUACCAAUGGAAGUGGCAAUUGGAGAAGAGAGGCAAGCAGCUGACAAGAUCACCUGAUAGCUCAGGGUGCCCUGGGUCUGAACUGUGCCUAUGGACCAAGACCAGCACCAUCCAAGCCUGAAUCUCUCAGGGACUCAAGGCUGCCAAGGCCUGGGUUCCCCAAUUUGAGGAGGGAGAGAAGGGUAGCUAAAAUAGUGAUGCCUUUUUCCCUCUUUCCUCACAAAAAUCCUUCCCGCAGCAAUUCAGUUAGAAUAAAGUUUGAUGUUUUUCCCCAACUGAUGCUAGAGUGGGAAACAGUUCCAACUUGAGGGGGGGAGGGUAACUCUCUCAGAGAAGGGAACCUCUCUAUACAUUAGUAGUAGAGGGAAGUCAAAAGGGAGUUUGGGGUUGAGCAGCCAUAGCUGAGGGGAGGUUGAAGGGGGAAACUACUCACUCCCCCUCUCCUUUCCCUAGCCCAAAUUAAACAGCAGCUGUCUCCCCCUGAACCCAAAUUUGAGGAGAAGUCUCCACUCUUUCUCCCUCUCUCUCUUUACCACCAGACUUAACCCUCUAUUACAAGAGCCCCCUCACUCCACCUUCUUUUAUUUUGUUUUUCAACAUUUUUUUUAUUUUGAUUAAUUUCAAAACUCAAUUGCAUAUAACUUCUCUUAAGAAGUUAGUUUUCUAAAUUAAAGGUAGGAUUUAUCCAAAAUAGAUAAUGGUUUUAAUUGUUUACCCAAAACAAGAUUUUUUUUAAGGCAAUACUGUGUCCAGAUGGGAAAACUUGAUGAACAAGUUUUAGAAUUCUUAUCUUCCUAGGAUAAUACUGCAUUCAUGAAAUCUUCCCUCAUGCCUCAAGUUCCUAGUUCUUUCUCUUUCCUCAAAUCAUUUAUAUCUGCCUACUUAUUGUCAUGUUUUAUAAAACUACUCAGUAUAAUGUAAAAUUUGAGAGCAGGGGCUAUUUACUUAUGAUCUUUGUGUCCUUAUUACUUGACACAGUACCUGUAUAAAGUGGUUGCCUAAUUAAUAUUAAUUUCUCACUCCACCUUCUUGAUGUUGGUUUUUGACUCCUGUCAUUUUGAGGUACUUUUUAUAUUAUUUUGGAAAUAUUGUCAGAGUGGUUUCAGCUUUCACUACUACUAAGCCAACAUCUUGGCUCUGCCCCCCUCCUAAAGGACUCAAGAUAAAAAAAAAGUUAUCUACCACCUCAAGAGAAAGAACUGAUGGAGUCUGAAUGCAGAUUACAGCAUACUGUAUACUACUUUUUAAUUUUUUUCACGUGGAUUUUUUUGGUCUGUUUUCUUUUAUAACAUAACUAAUAUGGAAAUGUUUUGCAUGACUCAACAUAUAUAACCUAUAUCAAAUUGCUUGCCUUCUCAAUGAGUAGGUAAAGGUUAGAAAUGAAGGAAGAGAAUUGGAACUCAAAAUUUUUAAUAAGCAAAUGUUAAAAAUUAUUUUUAGGGGGAAGCUGGGGGCUCAGUGCAUUGAGAGCCAAGCCUAGAGUUGGGAGGUCCUAGAUUUAAAUCUGACCUCAGACCUAGCUAUGUGACCCUGGGCAAGUCACUUAACUCCAUUGCCUAGCCCUUACCACUCUUCUGCCUUAGAACCAAUAUACUGUAUUGGUUCUAAGACAGAAGGUAGACUUUAAAUUUUUUUUAAAUUAUUUUUACAUGUAAUUGGAACAUACAUAUAUACAUGUACACACACACACACAUAUAACAGAUCACAAGAACAAGUCAAGAAGAGAGAUUUAAGGAUCACUGGAUGUCUGAUUUUAAAAGGUCAGGCUGCUAUAUUUCAAGAAACCAUAAAUGAAAACUUCCCAGAUCUAUUAGAACCAGAUUAUAAAAUAGAGAAAGAAUCCACCAAUUCUACUACCUAAUAGGUAUACCAAAAAGAAUAGACCCAGGAAUGUCAUAGUCAAAAUCUAGAAUUACUACAUCAAAGAAAAAAAUACAGCAAGCAUCCAGAAAGAGCAGUUUAAGUACCAAUGAACUACAACCAGGUUCAUAAAAGAUCUGGCAGCUUCUAACUAAAAUGAGAUGUUGGGAUAUGUAAACCUUAAAAUUUCUUAGACUUAUGAAUGUUGGAAAUUUCCCCAUUUCCAACAUUAGGUAGGGAGGGUCCUUCUCCUCCCUACCUAAGACUACUUUAGGCCAGAAACCUUUUGCUAAACAAUGGAAAGGGCUUUGACCUAUGCUUAAGCAUAGAACAGGAAGUUCUUUGAGUCAUGAUUGAUUUUAGAAUUGAUACAAUAGAGAUACUUGGAAUGACAGAACCAGGUCUUGGAAAAUACAAUUUCCACCCUACUUAGAGUAACAGGAUUUAGGAAGGGCUGCAGCAAAGGAUCAAGAUUUAAUUAUUUGAGAAUAUGACCUUCAACAGACAUGUGCAAAGCCACAGACCUCUGGGCGGUCCUGGGUUAAACUAGAACCACCAUUGGCACAGGGGAGACAUCGACAGUGAUUGGUAGAUGUGAGAACUGAGGGGAGGGAACUUAGAUGGUUUCCUUAAAGAUAGUGGGGUCUGAGGAGAGAGGGGAGGAGGUUUUGCUCUGAGCGAGGUGGCUCUGAAGGAGUUCGAGAGGUUUUGCUCUGAGAGGUUGUGCUCUGAGAAGCUUGCUCUGAAGGAAGCUGGAGGUGGAGGCCCCUGAGACUGUUUCUCCAUUUUGGUCACGUGAGUGAUAGGAACUGAUCUCUUUUCUUUGCCUCAGCUAUCUAAGGGCUUGGGCCUUUUGGCCCAGCCUAAACAGAGGGGAUAUUUAAGCCCUAUUCCCUUCUCUCCCCUCUCUCUCUCUCUCUCUCUCUCUCUCUCUCUCUCUCUCUCUCUCUCUCUCUCUCUCUCUCUCUCUC
This is a long non-coding RNA of Monodelphis domestica (gray short-tailed opossum), 2944 nucleotides long. RefSeq lists it as uncharacterized. Lineage: Eukaryota; Metazoa; Chordata; Mammalia; Didelphimorphia; Didelphidae. The record is from RefSeq and is a predicted model, not a curated record.